AUACUUACCUGUGGGGGAGACACCAGGAUCAUGAAGGGGCCUUUCCCAGGGUAGGGCUUACCUAUUAUUGCUCAGGAUGUGCUGACCCCCACAAGUUCCCCAGAUGUGGGAACUUGACUGCAUAGUUUGUGGUAGUCAGGGACUGCAUCAUCGUGCUUUCCCCUG
Artibeus jamaicensis (Jamaican fruit-eating bat) is the source of this 165-nucleotide small nuclear RNA. RefSeq annotates it as U1 spliceosomal RNA. The transcript has a single exon. NCBI's taxonomy places the organism in Eukaryota, Metazoa, Chordata, Mammalia, Chiroptera, Phyllostomidae. The record is from RefSeq and is a predicted model, not a curated record.